GACGAACGCUGGCGGCGUGCUUAACACAUGCAAGUCGAACGGAAAGGCCCUGCUUUUGUGGGGUGCUCGAGUGGCGAACGGGUGAGUAACACGUGAGUAACCUUCCCUUGACUUUGGGAUAACUUCAGGAAACUGGGGCUAAUACCGGAUAGGAGCUCCUGCUGCAUGGUGGGGGUUGGAAAGUUUCGGCGGUUGGGGAUGGACGGGGGGCUUAUCAGCUUGUUGGUGGGGUAGUGGCUUACCAAGGCUUUGACGGGUAGCCGGCCUGAGAGGGUGACCGGCCACAUUGGUACUGAGGUACGGCCCAGACUCCUACGGGAGGCAGCAGUGGGGAAUAUUGCACAAUGGGCGGAAGCCUGAUGCAGCAACGCCGCGUGCGGGAUGAAGGCCUUCGGGUUGUAAACCGCUUUCGCCUGUGACGAAGCGUGAGUGACGGUAAUGGGUAAAGAAGCACCGGCUAACUACGUG
This 468-nucleotide ribosomal RNA is filed under the name uncultured bacterium. Its description in RNAcentral is "partial 16S ribosomal RNA". It matches the Rfam family "Bacterial small subunit ribosomal RNA", at positions 28 to 507 of the family's 1533-position model. The record is from RNAcentral.